GUANGAGGCGAGCGUUAUCCGGAUUCACUGGGCGUAAAGCGCGUGCAGGUGGCGCGGUAAGUUAGGCGUGAAAUCUCCCGGCUCAACUGGGAGAGGUCGUCUAAUACUACCGUGCUUGAGAGCAGAAGAGGAAGAUGGAAUUCCCGGUGUAGUGGUGAAAUGCGUAGAUAUCGGGAGGAACACCAGUGGCGAAGGCGAUCUUCUGGUCUGUUUCUGACACUCAGACGCGACAGCUAGGGUAGUAAACGGGAUUAGAGACCCCGGUAAUCCUAGCCGUAAACGAUGUGAACUUGGCGUUGGUGGGUUAAACUCCAUCAGUGCCGUAGCAAACGCGAUAAGUUCACCGCCUGGGGACUACGGCCGCAAGGUUA
Molecule: ribosomal RNA, 371 nt
Filed under: uncultured bacterium
Lineage: Bacteria
Description: bacterial SSU rRNA
Rfam family: Bacterial small subunit ribosomal RNA
Source: RNAcentral